ACUGGUGGCUGGGAGCCCCAAGAUGGCUUCAGAAUGGGGGCUGGUCACGAGAAAGACCACAGUAUGAUUAGAACCUCUGGAGAGGAGAGAGGGGCUGAAGGUUGCGUUGAUCCUUUAUGGCCGAUGAUGUAAUCAGUCAGGCCUAUGUCAUAAAGCUUUCAUAAAAAACAAAGAAAACUUGGUUCAGGAGGCUCCAGACAGCUGAACCUGUGGAGGUGCCUGGAGGGUGGAUCUUCCGGAAGGCACAUGGCAGCUCUGCGUCCCUUCCCACAUGCCUUGCCCUAUGCAUCUCUUCCAUCUGGCUGCUCAUCUGUAUCCUUUAUCAUAUCCUUUAAAAGAAACUGGUAAAUGUAAACCCAGGCUGCAGCAUCCACCUCACCCCACCACUCCAAGAAGCCAGAGCCCUGGGACGUCAUGAACCUCACUGCCGCGGGCAUGGGAAUGUCAGGGAGGCUCAUUCUUCCCCUGAAGAUCUGCCUAAGGGUUCUACCAUUUCAAUUCCUUGUGGAACUCAAUCUGUUUUCUUAACUGAUGCAAAAAGACCACUUAAAGGUAAGUCUUUUCAACAAUGGUGCUGGAACAGUUGGACAAAUAUAGGCAAAAAAAUGACUCUCAAA
This is a non-coding RNA of Macaca mulatta (Rhesus monkey), 617 nucleotides long. NCBI's taxonomy places the organism in Eukaryota, Metazoa, Chordata, Mammalia, Primates, Cercopithecidae. The record is from RefSeq and is a predicted model, not a curated record.